Molecule: long non-coding RNA, 553 nt
Filed under: Equus caballus (horse)
Lineage: Eukaryota; Metazoa; Chordata; Mammalia; Perissodactyla; Equidae
Description: lncRNA (ENSECAG00000052132.1)
Source: RNAcentral
UGAUCUCCAGCCUCUGCCCCUCCACAUUCCCUCUCCCAACUCUUCAGGACUCAGGGAUCCGGGGAGCCUUCCCUCGUUCUCUCUCGAAGAACAAAUGAAAUUUCACAGUUUACCGUCUGGGCGAUGUUAGAUCAGCUUGUGUCUUAAACUUGGUCUUGAGAGGGUGACCUAGAAAGAAAUUGCCCAAAGAAUGCGAACUAUUCACUUAUGAAUGUGAAUUAUCUGCCUACAAAGGAUGCAUUUUCUGGGGAAAACUCUUGUCAUUUCAACAGGAACAACGAAAUUGGGCAAAAGGGAUUCACUGCUGAAUUCCCUGAUAAGCUGCCUCAGUUUCCUCACUGCAACUGAGAAAAGAAAUGUCUGCAAAGACAAAGAUUAAAACAAGCAUGGUUUCGUUUGGCCACUUUUUGAUAUCCCUUUUCCACAUGGCUGAAUACCAUCAGUUCACCAUUCCAGGCAGACAGCAAGGGGUGUGGAAACUGAGGCUCAGAAAGGGUAAACGUGGAGCUGUGAUUCAGUCUGUGUCUGACCUCAUAGCAGUGCCCUCUCCUCC